AAAUAUGAAGUUUUAUUAAAAGAAAAAGGGGUGAAAAGAAAAAAGUUUUGUCCAUCUUUGUUCAUCAUAGCUGAAAGUUAGAGAAGAGAAAGGAAAGGAGAAAGCUCUUGAGUAUUUGGUCAUUAGGAGGAGGAAAAUUGAAGGUAAGUUCUUGGUACCUUGCUUCUAUUUUGAGGUUCAUGAGUUCUUCUUGAUUCUACCUUAACUCUUGAAGUAUAUUUUGAUUUUUAGUUGUGUUGUGAGCCUUUAGUCAUGAAUUAAAAUGAAGGAAAUGAUUGUUGUUUCAUGUUCUUUUGAUGAAAAAUGGAAGAUAGGUGAAGUUGAGCCAAACAAAUAAGCAUGCAUGUGCCUUAGAUGUUAAAGGGAAAAAUCAGCUAACAUGUUGUGCUUUAAAAUGAUGAAAUGGAGAUUAUACUUAAGUAAAAUCAUAGAUAUGUGAUGAUUGAUUCGUGAUAUACAUGUUUAAAUAACAUGCAUGCAAGUAUGUGUGAAAGAGUGAUUUGGUAAUAAAUCUGCUUGGGACAACAGCAGUAACGUGACUUUGGAAAAUCACCAUAAAUUGUGGGAGAUGAAUUAGAAGCUGAAUAAAUUAUGUAAUUAAAGCUUAUUGAGUCUAGUUUCUAAUGAAAUAAACAAGAACAUAUUUUGAAUUCUGUACAAUGAUAAAUUUGAUUCGUAAUGAAGAGUGGUCAGAUUAGUCAAACAGUGAAACAUGAGAAACUUUAAGAAAAAUCUGGUAUUAAUUGGCCAUACCAAAAAUUCUGAAAAUUUUAUGGAUAAAAGAUAUACGAGUGUAUUUUCAGGGAAAAUUAACGGCACUUGAUUUGGAGUUUCGUAGCUCCAGUUAUAAAUAAUUUAGUGACUGUUGCUCAGGAAGACAGCUUGCAGUGAAAUUAUGAUUAUGUGGUAAACAUUGACAAAAAUUUGUUAAUGAGUUGCUUAUUGAUUUCUUAUAAGCUUACUAUGAUCUGUAGGUGUGGUUGGCCGAAUAUUGUAAGGGGUUAAUACGUACUUUGUAUUUGAAUAGUUAGAUUAACGUGUUGUAAUCCAAUUGUAGGUGGUUCGUGUGUGGAUCUCGUCAGCAUAUCGUCGCAAACAGGUGUGUAACUGACACCCUCUCAUAGACUAGAUUGGCAAAAGCCAAAAAGCCGAAAUGCCGAAAAGUCGGUAUUUUGGGAAUUUGCAAGUGUGCGAAUGCUCGUAAGAUAGUUGGGUUUGUAUAUUUGGUAAUCUAAAGUAAUAAACUGCAGUACGCACGAUUUCGUACAUUUUGAUAAUUUGGGCGUAAUGGGCCAAAGAUCGGGUUCAUGGGCCAACGGGCCCAAUUCGGUAAGUAUGCGCGGUAAGUGUUCUGAUAGUACGUAAAUAGUUAGGAUAUGCAUGAAAACCCUAAAAGUAGCUAAAUUACUAUAAUACCCCUAUGUAUGAAAAAUUGCUGUUAUACCCCUAGGUGCAAAAUUACCGUUAUACCCCUAGGGUUAAUUUUGACUGAAAAGCAUGACGAUCUGAUUCUGUAUGAUGUAUGCCAUGAUUAUAUAUCUGUUGCAUGGGGACAUGGGUUAUAUUAUGGAGGAAGCGUUCUGGUGGCUAUGCCACAAAUAUCUGAUCUGGUGGCUCUGCCACAAAUAUCUGAUCUGGUGGCUCUAUCACAUAUAUCUGUUCUGGUGGCUCUGCCACGAUUAUCUGUAUCUGGUGACUCUAUCACAUUAUCUGUUCUGGCAGCCAUGCUGCAAAUUCUGUGGUGUGUAGCGGUUGGGUGGUCGAGUUGUCUCCCCACACGGUGUAAGGUUGGUACGGGGGUGUAUACGGUUGGAUAUGGUUGGGUUUCUGCAUAAACAUGUAAUAUCUGUUCUGUUCUGUUAUGGGCCUAUGGGCUUUAUUCUGAAUUCUGUUCUGGGCUAAGGCCAACUUAUUCUAUUUCUGUGGUUUAAGCUGAUAUAGGCUAUGGUUGGGUUAUUUUACACACUGAGUUUCCCCAAACUCACCCCUUUUAUUUUCAUCCACGCAGGAAAUCCCCAACCAUAGUGGGCUUGGAGCUGUGAGGGAAUUCGGAGUGGCCACCCGUUCUGAAAGUUUGAUUUUCUUCUGGUGAACUGGACAUCCUUUUAUUUACGUUUGAAGUUUUGGGUUUUCAAAUGUAAUAAGGCCGCUUAAUUAUUUUUGAUGGUUUUAAUAUGUAUUACUAAGAUAGGUAUUACUUAUUUUAACUGUCGAAAUUGGAUAGCUUUAGGGCGCGUUUUCAAAAACAACAAUUGAUUUCAAAAUAACACGACAACAAGCAAAGCUUCCGCAAUGAAAGUAUUUUCCAAAAUUAAUCACUUUUCCUAAAAAUGACUUAAUCAAAUCGGUUUCCUAGAAAUAUCCAUGACAUUAAGGUGUGGCAAUGGCGGUAUGCAUGUCUAGGAGUGGAUCCGAAAGGAGCUUGGUACUUAAGCAGUCUGAUGGACUCACCACCUCUUUUCCGGUUUCCUACCUGGUGCACAGCUUCUAUUCACUUUAACCCUUAAUGAAUUAAUCUUUUGAACAUCAAGUACGAUUUUCUGGACUUAGAAUGGAAAAUUUUUUAACGUUUUUGAUGUGGCAUGCCGGAUCCGGCCAUAACUUCUGGGCCGAGUUUGGGGUGCUACAUUUAGUGGUAUCAGAGCCUAGGUUGCAACAACUCGGCUGUGGAAUGGGUUUACAAAAACAAAGAUUUUCAAAAACGAAAAUUUUAUAAAGAAUGCGAAAAACUCGAUUUUUAAAAUUUAGAUCUUAAGAACGUGGCAUUCCGAAUCUCCGGCUCAAGCCUGUAAGUAUUACUCUGAACUCUUCUGAAUAUUUUUUUGAAUUAUCUGUCUGUACUAAAACCCUACUAGGAUACUCUAGAUAGGAUUAUUCUGAAACCAUAGGAAAAUCUGAUAAGAGACUGAAACUGUAGCUAGACUUCGAUUCUGCGAAAAUAAACUUUGAAUUACUGUCUGAUUCAAAAAACAUCUGUAAUAAACACUGGAAUAUUGAAUUGAUGCAUAAAAAUUUGUAAUCAAGAUAAAUCGAUAUGAGUACGAGAGCUACUCGGGGAAGAGGUCGUGGUCGAGGCCGAGGUAGUACUCAAGCUGGAUUUUCGUUUUCUGAACACAUACCCACUGGAGUAGCACGACCACCACUGACGGAUGAGAAUGGGCCGUAUGAUAGAGCUGCCGAGGAUGAUGCCCUAUCACAGGCAAUGCUUCGGGUUCUGAAAAGGGUUGCCGGAGCAAGUUCGGGCAACGAAAUUCAGGGAUCUAUUUCUGAAUGACUUCGGAACUAACGGAAUGGAGAUCUUUAAGGGCGUGUCUGAUAUAGCCUCGAAUGUGGCGGAAUAUUGGUUGGAGGCCACAGAAUGGAUUAUGGACGACUUGGACUGCUCUGAGGAGAUUGUGAGUGGGGUAUCUGUACUAAGUCCCUUGGGUCACUCGGUUAGGGUAGACAAACUGUAUAGAGAUGUACCCUUAAAAACUCAAGGUAAGAUUUUCCCUGGAGAUCUGAUGGAGUUACCGUUCGGAGAGUUUGAUCUCAUUUUGGGAAUGGACUGGCUAGUUAAGCAUAAAGCGACUCUGGACUGUGCUGCUAAACGAAUGGUGUUAAGGACCACAAAGGAUGAGGGGGUUAUAGUGAUAGGUGAGCGAAGGGAUUAUUUGUCCAAUGUGGUGUCGGCUUUAAGAGCCGAAAAGUGGAUUCGAAAAGGUUGUGAGGCCUAUUUGACAUUUGUAAGUCAGUCAGAAGAGGAGGGACUGACAGUGGAUAAGGUUAGGACCGUAAAGGAGUUCCAAGAUGUUUUUCCGGAGGAGCUUCCAAGAUUGCCUCCGAAUCGAGAAGUUGAGUUUGAAAUAGACUUGUUGCCUGGAACGGCGCCCGUGUCCAUCACACCGUAUAGGAUGGCACCGAAGGAGUUAGUGGAGUUAAAGGCUCAAAUUCAAGAGUUGUUGGAUAGGGACUUCAUUAGGCCAAGCGUGUCUCUAUGGGGAGCACCGGUGCUAUUUGUGAAGAAAAAGGACGGGACAAUGCGCAUGUGCAUCGAUUACCGCCAGUUGAACAAAUUGACGAUAAAGAACAAAUACCCUCUGCCAAGGAUUGAUGAUUUAUUUGACCAACUUAGAGGAGCUUCGGUAUUUUCCAAGAUUGACCUUCGAUCUAGAUACCAUCAGUUAAGGGUAAAAGAAGUGGAUAUUCAUAAGACAGCAUUCAGGACUCGAUAUGGUCAUUACGAGUUCCUGGUUAUGCCGUUUGGGUUGACGAACGCACCUGCCGCUUUCAUGGAUCUGAUGAAUCAAGUGUUCCAACCUUACUUGGACCGAUUUGUGGUAGUUUUUAUCGAUGAUAUUCUAGUAUACUCAGAAACCGAGGAGAAACAUGAGGAGCAUCUACAUAUUGUGCUGCAAGUGCUGAGAGAGAAUGAAUUGUAUGCAAAGUUUAGUAAGUGUGAAUUUUGGUUGCGAGAAAUGGCCUUUCUAGGUCAUGUGGUUUCUGCUGAAGGAAUUAGAGUGGAUCCUCGAAAAGUUGAGGCAGUUCUGGGAUGGAAGCCACCAAAAUCAGUAUCGGAAAUUCGGAGUUUUCUGGGUUUGGCAGGCUAUUACCGAAGGUUCGUAGAAGGAUUUUCUCUGAUUGCUGCACCAUUGACGAAACUGUUAAGAAAAGGGGUAGCAUUUGUCUGGACUGAGAGUCAGCAAAAAGCUUUUGACCAUUUGAAAAAGGUAUUGACUGAAGCACCAGUGUUGAUUCAACCGGAGUCUGGGAAGGACUUCACUGUGUACAGCGAUGCGUCACAUGUGGGGUUAGGAUGUGUACUGAUGCAAGAGGGUAAGGUGGUCGCUUAUGCUUCGCGACAGCUUAAGUCUCAUGAAGCAAACUACCCUACGCACGACUUAGAGCUAGCAGUAGUGAUCUUCGCGUUGAAAAUCUGGAGACAUUACUUAUAUGGAGAAAAGUGUAUCAUAUACACGGACCAUAAGAGCCUAAAGUAUCUGUUAACUCAGAAGGAGUUAAACCUUAGGCAACGAAGAUGGGUAGAGUUGCUUAAGGAUUACGACUGUUCGAUUGAGUACCACCCAGGUAAGGCUAACGUGGUGGCUGAUGCAUUGAGUCGAAGGGUUGUUUCUGAUUUGAGAGCCUUGUUUGCACGUUUGAGUCUGUUUGAUGAUGGAAGUCUGUUAGCAGAAUUGCAAGUGAGGCCUAUUUGGACUGAGCAGAUUAAAAAAAAACAGUUGAAGGAUAACUCGUUGGUCCUUCGGUUUCAGCAAGUUGAGAAGGGUGAGAAUGAGGAUUUUGGACUGAAUACUGAAGGAGUUUUAUGCUUCCGAGGAAGAAUUUGUAUUCCGAAGGAUUCUGACUUGAGACAGUCAAUAUUGAAGGAAGCUCAUGGAGGACUUUGUGCCAUGCAUCCUGGAGGGAAUAAGUUGUAUCACGACUUGCGAGAACUGUACUGGUGGCCUAGGCUUAAACGAGAAGUAACGGAGUUCGUGGGGAAAUGUAUGACAUGCCAGCAAGUGAAAGCUGAACAUCAAUUUCCUUCUGGAUUACUGCAACCGGUGAAAAUUCCAUUGUGGAAGUGGGAGAGAGUCACUAUGGACUUUGUCAGUGGGCUACCUUUGACACCCACCAAGAAAGAUUCUGUGUGGGUAGUGGUGGAUAGGUUAACAAAAUCUUUCCAUUUCAUACCAGUCGUACUGAUUACUCCCUGCAAAAGUUGGCUAGGUUGUAUGUGGCAGAGAUAGUACGACUACAUGGAGUGCCAGUGUCGAUUAUUUCCGACCGAGACCCUAGGUUUACAUCUCGGUUCUGGAAGAAGUUGCAGGAGGCAUUGGGUACACGUUUGGAUUUCAGUACUGCCUUUCACCCACAGACAGAUGGACAGUCGGAGAGGGUUAUUCAGAUUUUGGAGGAUAUGUUAAAGGGUUGUAUCAUCGAUUUUCGUGGGAGUUGGGAGGACUACUUGCGAUUGGCGGAGUUUGCAUACAAUAACAGCUACCAAGCAAGUAUUCAGAUGGCUCCAUAUGAGGCACUUUAUGGGCGGAGAUGUCGUACGCCUACGUGUUGGACAGAGUUGGGUGAACGACAAGUGCUUGGAUCGGAGAUGGUGGCAGAUACUGAAAGUAAGGUUAAGUUGAUAAGAGAUCGAUUAAAGGAGGCAUCUGAUAGACAGAAGUCAUAUGCGGACCUAAAGCGCAAAGAGAUAGAGUUCACGGUUGGGGAUAUGGUUUUCUUAAAGGUUUCACUUUGGAAGAAGAUCUUGAGAUUCGGAAAGAAAGGUAAAUUGAGUCCGCGGUUUAUAGGGCCUUAUUGAGUUCUUAAGCGGGUAGGGCCAGUAGCGUAUCAGUUAGAAUUACCACCAGAGUUAGACAGAAUCCAUGACGUUUUUCAUGUGUCUAUGUUAAGACGAUAUCGGUCGGAUCCCUCACAUGUUGUGCCAGUGGAGGAGAUUGAAGUAAGGACUGAUUUGACCUUUGAGGAAGAACCCAUACAAAUUUUAGAUCGAGAGGUUAAAGUUCUAAGAAGGAAGUCGGUUCCGUUGGUAAAAGUACUGUGGCGUAAUCAUGGAAGGGAAGAAGCUACUUGGGAAUCAGAAGAGACUAUGCGUCAACAAUACCCUCAACUAUUUGAAUCAGGUAAAUUUCGAGGCCGAAAUUUCUUUAAGGGGGGUAGAGUUGUAACGCCCCAAUUUUCGAGAAUUCUGUGAAUGUUGGCAUAGGUUUAAUUAUGUUAGUGGGUCUCUAGAAAGCCCAAACUUAAUAUAGAACCCGACAAUUUUAGUUAUUUUUUGUUCUAUAAGAAAAAGGGGGUGAAAUUAUGAAAUAGGACCUAUGUGAAAAUGUUUGAAAAUGCUAUAGGCUAAAUUGAAGUGGCCAAAUAAAUAGGAGUGCAAAAUAGGAGGAUUUGCAUGACAAACCUCCUAUUUUACAUGAAGUGGCCAGCCAUCAUGUGGUUGUAGACAAAAUGUACACUUGAUAUCCAUAAUUUAUCGUACAAAUUGAUACAAAUUGAUAAUAGGUUAGGUAAAUGUUCAAUGAUAAUAGGUUAGGUAAAUGUUCCAUGAUAAUGGGUUAGGUAAAUGUUUCAUGAUAAUGGGUUAGGUAAAUGUUUCAUGAUAAGAAUUUCAUGUCUUUUGUAUUAAAGAAUUAAAUUGAUGAAAUAUGAAGUUUUAUUAAAAGAAAAAGGGGUGAAAAGAACAAAGUUUUGUCCAUCUUUGUUCAUCAUAGCUGAAAGUUAGAGAAGAGAAAGGAGAGGAGAAAGCUCUUGAGUAUUUGGUCAUUAGGAGGAGGAAAAUUGAAGGUAAGUUCUUGGUACAUUGCUUCUAUUUUGAGGUUCAUGAGUUCUUCUUGAUUCUACCUUAACUCUUGAAGUAUAUUUUGAUUUUUAGUUGUGUUGUGAGCAUUUAGUCAUGAAUUAAAAUGAAGGAAAUGGUUGUUGUUUCAUGUUCUUUUGAUGAAAAAUGGAAGAUAGGUGAAGUUGAGCCAAACAAAUAAGCAUGCAUGUGCCUUAGAUGUUAAAGGGAAAAAUCAGCUAACAUGUUGUGCUUUAAAAUGAUGAAAUGGAGAUUAUACUUAAGUAAAAUCAUAGAUAUGUGAUGAUUGAUUGGUGAUAUACAUGUUUAAAUAACAUGCAUGCAAGGUAUGUGUGAAAGAGUGAUUUGGUAAUAAAUUUGCUUGGGACAGCAGUAGUAACGUGACUUUGGAAAAUCACCAUAAAUUGUGGGAGAUGAAUUAGAAGCUGAAUAAAUUAUGUAAUUAAAGCUUAUUGAGUCUAGUUUCUAAUGAAAUAAACAAGAACAUAUUUUGAAUUCUGUACAAUGAUAAAUUUGAUUCGUAAUGAAGAGUGGUCAGAUUAGUCAAACAGUGAAACAUGGGAAACUUUAAGAAAAAUCUGGUAUUAAUUGGCCAUACCAAAAAUUCUGAAAAUUUUAUGGAUAAAAGAUAUACGAGUUUAUUUUCAGGGAAAAUUAACGGCACUUGAUUUGGAGUUUCGUAGCUCCAGUUAUAAAUAAUUUAGUGACUGUUGCUCAGGAAGACAGCUUGCAGUGAAAUUAUGAUUAUGUGGUAAAUAUUGACAAAAAUUUGUUAAUGAGUUGCUUAUUGAUUUCUUAUAAGCUUACUAUGAUCUGUAGGUGUGGUUGGCCGAAUAUUGUAAGGGGUUAAUACGUAGUUUGUAUUUGAAUAGUUAGAUUAACGUGUUAGUAAUCCAAUUGUAGACGGUUCGUGUGUGGAUCUCGUCAGCAUAUCGUCGCAAACAGGUGUGUAACUGACACCCUCUCAUAGACUAGAUUGGCAAAAGCCGAAAAGCUGAAAUGCCGAAAAGUCGGUAUUUUGGGAAUUUGCGAGUGUGCAAAUGCUCGUAAGAUAGUUGAGUUUGUAUAUUUGGUAAUCUAAAGUAAUAAACUGCAGUACGCGCGAUUUCGUACAUUUUGAUAAUUUGAGCUUAAUGGGCCAAAGAUCGGGUUCAUGGGCCAACGGGCCCAAUUCGGUAAGUAUGCGCGGUAAGUGUUCUGAUAGUACGUAAAUAGUUAGGAUAUGCAUGAAAACCCUAAAAGUAGCUAAAUUACUAUAAUACCCCUAUGUAUGAAAAAUUGCUGUUAUACCCCUAGGUGCAAAAUUACCGUUAUACCCCUAGGGUUAAUUUUGACUGAAAAGUAUGACAAUCUGAUUCUGUAUGAUGUAUGCCAUGAUUAUAUAUCUGUUGCAUGGGGACAUGGGUUAUAUUAUGGAGGAAGCGUUCUGGUGGCUAUGCCACAAAUAUCUGAUCUGGUGGCUCUGCCACAUAUAUCUGUUCUGGUGGCUCUGCCACGAUUAUCUGUAUCUGGUGACUCUGUCACAUUAUCUGUUCUGGCAGCCAUGCUGCAAAUUCUGUGGUGUGUAGCGGUUGGAUGGGUUGAGUUGUCUCCCCACACGGUGUAAGGUUGGUACGGGGGUGUAUACGGUUGGAUAUGGUUGGGUUUCUGCAUAAACAUGUAAUAUCUGUUCUGUUCUGUUAUGGGCCUAUGGGCUUUAUUCUGAAUUCUGUUCUAGGCUAAGGCCAACUUAUUCUAUUUCUGUGGUUUGAGCUGAUAUAGGCUAUGGUUGGGUUAUUUUACACACUGAGUUUCCCCAAACUCACCCCUUUUAUUUUCAUCCACGCAGGAAAUCCCCAACCAUAGUGGGCUUGGAGCUGUGAGGGAAUUCGGAGUGGCCACCCGUUCUGAAAGUUUGAUUUUCUUCUGGUGAACUGGACAUCCUUUUAUUUACGUUUGAAGUUUUGGGUUUUCAAAUGUAAUAAGGCCGCUUAAUUAUUUUUGAUGGUUUUAAUAUGUAUUACUAAGAUAGGUAUUACUUAUUUUAACUGUCAAAAUUGGAUAGCUUUAGGGCGCGUUUUCAAAAACAACAAUUGAUUUCAAAAUAACACGACAAUAAGCAAAGCUUCCGCAAUGAAAGUAUUUUCCAAAAUUAAUCACUUUUCCUAAAAAUGACUUAAUCAAAUCGGUUUCCUAGAAAUAUCCAUGACAUUAAGGUGUGGCAAUGGCGGUAUGCAUGUCUAGGAUUGGAUCCGAAGAGAGCUUGGUACUUAAGCAGUCCGAUGGACUCACCACCUCUUUUCCGGUUUCCUACCUGGUGCACAGCUUCCAUUCACUUUAACCUUUAAUGAAUUAAUCUUUUGAACAUCAAGUACGAUUUUCUGGACUUAGAAUGGAAAAUUUUUUAACGUUUUUGAUGUGGCAUGCCGGAUCCGGCCAUAACUUCUGGGCCGGGUUUGGGGUGCUACAUGGUGUGUAGGGCUGGGUGGGUGUUUUAAACCCCACAUGGUGUGCAGGGAUGGUCGGAGAUAGUGUGUAGAGGAUGGGGGUAGGAUUCUUAUUUCUGAUUUCUGAUUCUGAUUUGCACAUCUGUAUCUGUAUCUGAAAUGGGUGUGGGCUCUAAUUUGUAUCUGUUUGAUGUAUGAUAAUCUGUAUGUUUGCAUGUCUAAUUCUAUUGGGUUACACACUGAGUUUAUAUAAACUGACCCCUUUUCUGUUUGAUUUUGUACAGGUAAUUCACAGAGUUAGGCGGAUCGAUGGAGCGGAGAACUCGACGGUGACCUAUCGCUAUUACUGUUUUAUUUUGUUUUAUGGUCUUGUUUAAGUUUUGGCGUUGAUAUUUGAAAGGUUGUAUUUUUUGGGACUCUCUGGACUAUUUUACACUGUUUGAUUUGGUUAUGGGUUUUUGGAAUUAACUUGCUUAUAACUAUGAUGGUUUUACCUAAAACAUGAUUUUCUAAAAAUACGAAUUGUUUUCCUCAAACACGACGAUUUCUUAAGCUUCCGCUAAAAUGAUACGUUUUAAGGCAAGUCGACUAAUUGAAUAUAUGUUUUGAAUUAAAUGAAAGCAAUUAAGGGUUUAUAAGCUUAAUUUUUUUAUAGAGUUAGCUCUAUUUUCAAAAUCCCUUCCAUGUGACAUCGCCAGAUUCGGCCAUAACAUCUAGGUCAGGUUUGGGGUGUUACAAUCUAGGUAUUGUCAUGUCUGAUCACCUAAAAUUUUGUUUUCAAACAGACAAAAAGCCCUAGUGCACUAAAACAUUGGGUAACCGAAUUACCUCCCAACAGCAUUCACAACCCACAAGAGUCCAAAAAGUGGAAGCGAUUAAUGGAAUUUGGGACCAAGUCCUGGUGCAAGAUGCUUCUAGUCCAUCCCUGUAUUGAUUGUCAUGUAUCACACCUUGAAUUGGUCUGUU
RNAcentral lists this long non-coding RNA (10689 nucleotides) under Gossypium barbadense (sea-island cotton). RNAcentral's name for it is "long non-coding RNA (GBAR_LNC007680)". The record is from RNAcentral. Lineage: Eukaryota; Viridiplantae; Streptophyta; Magnoliopsida; Malvales; Malvaceae.